This 613-nucleotide ribosomal RNA is filed under the name uncultured organism. Its description in RNAcentral is "bacterial SSU rRNA". It matches the Rfam family "Bacterial small subunit ribosomal RNA", at positions 832 to 1444 of the family's 1533-position model. The record is from RNAcentral.
UCGACCCCUCCGGUGCCGCAGUUAACGCACUAAGUACCCCGCUUGGGGAUUAUGCUCGCGAGGCUGAAACUCAAAGGAAUUGACAGGGCCCCGCACAAGCGGUGGAGCAUGUGGUUUAAUUCGACGCUACGCGAAGUACCUUACCUGGGCUUGACAUGCUUGGGACAGCGCUGGAUACAGCGUCUCUCCUUCGGGAGCCCUUGCACAGGUGCUGCAUGGCUGUCGUCAGCUCGUGUCGUGAGAUGUUGGGUUAAGUCCCGCAACGAGCGCAACCCUCGUUACUAGUUGCCAUCAGUUCGGCUGGGCACUCUAGUGAGACUGCCGGUGAUAAACCGGAGGAAGGUGAGGAUGAUGUCAAGUCAUCAUGGCCCUUACGCCCAGGGCUACACACGUGCUACAAUGGUCGGCACAAAGGGUCGCUAAGCCGCGAGGUGGAGCUAAUCCCAAAAAGCCGGCCUCAGUUCGGAUUGGAGUCUGCAACCCGACUCCAUGAAGGCGGAAUCGCUAGUAAUCGCGGAUCAGCAUGCCACGGUGAAUAUGUUCCCGGGGCUUGUACACACCGCCCGUCAUAUCACCCGAGUCGGGAUACCCGAAGUCCGUGACCCAACCACUU